UAGCUUGGAAGAAAUUUUUGCCCUCCUGUGUACAAAGCUUGGCUGCUGACCAGACAGAUUUUCCUGCUUUCAUCGGUAUAGAGAAAUCAAGAGGACUGUACUCUGUUUGCUUGGCUGAAAUGCGUGGCAACCUGCCCUGUCCAAAAGAUGAUGCUUGGUGAAUGCUGAUGGUGAGAAUUGCCACUGUCUCAUGAAUGAAGUAGUGAUUUGUUGAUGGACAUCAGCAA
Molecule: long non-coding RNA, 227 nt
Filed under: Dromaius novaehollandiae (emu)
Lineage: Eukaryota; Metazoa; Chordata; Aves; Casuariiformes; Dromaiidae
Description: lncRNA (ENSDNVG00000002620.1)
Source: RNAcentral